RNAcentral lists this ribosomal RNA (289 nucleotides) under uncultured bacterium. RNAcentral's name for it is "partial 16S ribosomal RNA". It matches the Rfam family "Bacterial small subunit ribosomal RNA", at positions 28 to 334 of the family's 1533-position model. The record is from RNAcentral.
GAUGAACGCUGGCGGCGUGCUUAACACAUGCAAGUCGAAUGUAGCAAUACAUGGCGGACGGGUGAGUAACGCGUGGGCAACCUGCCCUUAUCUGGGGGAUAACAGUUGGAAACGACUGAUAAUACCGCAUAAUAUGGUUUGAAGGCAUCUUCUUUCCAUCAAAGAUUUAUCGGAUAAGGAUGGGCCCGCGUCUGAUUAGCUUGUUGGUGAGGUAACGGCUCACCAAGGCGACGAUCAGUAGCCGACCUGAGAGGGUGAUCGGCCACAUUGGAACUGAGACACGGUCCAA